UACACACGACCGUACCGCAAACCGACACUGGUGCGCGAGAUGAGUAUUCUAAGGCGCUUGAGAGAACUCAGGAGAAGGAACUCGGCAAAUUGACACCGUAACUUCGGAAGAAGGUGUGCCUUUAGUAGGUGAAGUCCCUCGCGGAUGGAGCCCAAUGAGGUUGCAAAAAAUCGGUGGCUGCGACUGUUUAUUAAAAACACAGCACUCUGCAAACACGAAAGUGGACGUAUAGGGUGUGACGCCUGCCCGGUGCUGGAAGAUUAAAUGAUGGGGUGCAAGCUCUUGAUUGAAGUCCCAGUAAACGGCGGCCGUAACGAUAACGGUCCUAAGGUAGCGAAAUUCCUUGUCGGGUAAGUUCCGACCUGCACGAAUGGCGUAACGAUGGCCACACUGUCUCCUCCUGAGACUCAGCGAAGUUGAAAUGUUUGUGAUGAUGCAAUCUCCCCGCGGAAAGACGGAAAGACCCCAUCAACCUUUACUGUAGCUUUGUAUUGGACUUUGAACAGAUCUGUGUAGGAUAGGUGGGAGGCUUUGAAGCAGGGUCGCUAGAUCUUGUGGAGCCAACGUUGAAAUACCACCCUGGUGUGUUUGAGGUUCUAACCUAGGCCCGUAAUCCGGGUUGGGGACAGUGCAUGGUAGGCAGUUUGACUGGGGCGGUCUCCUCCCAAAGUGUAACGGAGGAGUUCGAAGGUACGCUAGUUACGGUCGGACAUCGUGACGAUAGUGCAAUGGCAUAAGCGUGCUUAACUGCGAGACUGACAAGUCGAGCAGAUGCGAAAGCAGGACAUAGUGAUCCGGUGGUUCUGUAUGGAAGGGCCAUCGCUCAACGGAUAAAAGGUACUCUGGGGAUAACAGGCUGAUACCGCCCAAGAGUUCAUAUCGACGGCGGUGUUUGGCACCUCGAUGUCGGCUCAUCUCAUCCUGGGGCUGUAGCCGGUCCCAAGGGUAUGGCUGUUCGCCAUUUAAAGAGGUACGUGAGCUGGGUUUAAAACGUCGUGAGACAGUUUGGUCCCUAUCUUCCGUGGGCGCUGCAGAUUUGAGGAAGCCUGCUCCUAGUACGAGAGGACCGGAGUGGACGCACCUCUGGUCUAUCGGUUGUCACGCCAGUGGCAUUGCCGAGUAGCUAUGUGCGGAAGAGAUAACCGCUGAAAGCAUCUAAGCGGGAAACUCGUUUCAAGAUGAGAUCUGCCGGGGCCUUGAGCCCCCUGAAGAGUCGUUCAAGACCAGGACGUUGAUAGGUCGGGUGUGGAAGCGCAGUAAUGCGUUAAGCUAACCGAUACUAAUUGCUCGUGCGGCUUGACCU
RNAcentral lists this ribosomal RNA (1303 nucleotides) under metagenome. Its description in RNAcentral is "bacterial LSU rRNA". It matches the Rfam family "Bacterial large subunit ribosomal RNA", at positions 1633 to 2925 of the family's 2925-position model. The record is from RNAcentral.